UUCGGGAGCCUAUCAGGUGUUGCAUGGCUGUCGUCAGCUCGUGUCGUGAGAUGUUCGGUUAAGUCCGCUAACGAGCGCAACCCUCGUCGUAUGUUAUAUGUGUCAUACGAGACUGCCGGUAAAAAGCCGGAGGAAGGUGAGGAUGAUGUCAAGUCAGCAUGACCUUUAUAUCCAGGGCUACACACACGCUACAAUGGUCUGUACAAUGGGUAGCCAAGCCGCGAGGCGGAGCCAAUCCUGAAAGCAGGCCUCAGUUCAGAUUGCAGUCUGCAACUCGACUGCAUGAAGCCGGAGUUGCUAGUAACCGCAGGUCAGCAAUACUGCGGUGAAUACGUUCCCGGGUCUU
Molecule: ribosomal RNA, 346 nt
Filed under: uncultured Anaerolineaceae bacterium
Lineage: Bacteria; Bacillati; Chloroflexota; Anaerolineae; Anaerolineales; Anaerolineaceae
Description: bacterial SSU rRNA
Rfam family: Bacterial small subunit ribosomal RNA
Source: RNAcentral